Podarcis lilfordi (Lilford's wall lizard) is the source of this 72-nucleotide non-coding RNA. NCBI's taxonomy places the organism in Eukaryota, Metazoa, Chordata, Lepidosauria, Squamata, Lacertidae. The record is from the annotation of a GenBank genome assembly.
GCUGGAUAGCUCAGUUGGUCUGACAUGAGACUCUUAAUUUCAGAGUCGUGGGUUCAAGACCCACAUUGUGCA